GAGUUUGAUCCUGGCUCAGGAUGAACGCUGGCGGCGUGCUUAACACAUGCAAGUCGAACGAACCUUCGGGUUAGUGGCGGACGGGUGAGUAACGCGUGGGAAUCUGCCCUCAGGAGGGGGAUAACGGCUGGAAACGGCCGCUAAUACCCCAUAUGCCGAGAGGUGAAAUGAAUUUCGCCUGAGGAUGAGCCCGCGUCUGAUUAGCUAGUUGGUGAGGUAAGAGCUCACCAAGGCAUCGAUCAGUAGCUGGUCUGAGAGGAUGAUCAAGCCACACUGGGACUGAGACACGGCCCAGACUCCUACGGGAGGCAGCAGUGGGGAAUUUUCCGCAAUGGGCGAAAGCCUGACGGAGCAACGCCGCGUGAGGGAUGAAGGCCUCUGGGCUGUAAACCUCUUUUCUCAAGGAAGAAGAUCUGACGGUACUUGAGGAAUAAGCCACGGCUAAUUCCGUGCCAGCAGCCGCGGUAAUACGGGAGUGGCAAGCGUUAUCCGGAAUUAUUGGGCGUAAAGCGUCCGCAGGCGGCCCUUCAAGUCUGCUGUUAAAACGUGGAGCUUAACUCCAUCAUGGCAGUGGAAACUGUUGGGCUUGAGUGUGGUAGGGGCAGAGGGAAUUCCCGGUGUAGCGGUGAAAUGCGUAGAUAUCGGGAAGAACACCAGUGGCGAAGGCGCUCUGCUGGGCCAUAACUGACGCUCAUGGACGAAAGCCAGGGGAGCGAAAGGGAUUAGAUACCCCUGUAGUCCUGGCCGUAAACGAUGAACACUAGGUGUCGGGGGAAUCGACCCCCUCGGUGUCGUAGCCAACGCGUUAAGUGUUCCGCCUGGGGAGUACGCACGCAAGUGUGAAACUCAAAGGAAUUGACGGGGGCCCGCACAAGCGGUGGAGUAUGUGGUUUAAUUCGAUGCAACGCGAAGAACCUUACCAGGGUUUGACAUCCUGCGAACCUCUUGGAAACGAGAGGGUGCCUUCGGGAACGCAGUGACAGGUGGUGCAUGGCUGUCGUCAGCUCGUGUCGUGAGAUGUUGGGUUAAGUCCCGCAACGAGCGCAACCCACGUCUUUAGUUGCCAGCAUUUAGUUGGGCACUCUAGAGAGACCGCCGGUGAUAAACCGGAGGAAGGUGUGGAUGACGUCAAGUCAUCAUGCCCCUUACAUCCUGGGCUACACACGUACUACAAUGCUACGGACAAAGAGCAGCAAGUUCGCGAGGACAAGCAAAUCUCAUAAACCGUGGCUCAGUUCAGAUCGUAGGCUGCAACUCGCCUACGUGAAGGAGGAAUCGCUAGUAAUCGCAGGUCAGCAUACUGCGGUGAAUACGUUCCCGGGCCUUGUACACACCGCCCGUCACACCAUGGAAGUUGGCCACGCCCGAAGCCGUUACUCCAACCCUUGUGGAGGAGGACGUCGAAGGUGGGGCUGAUGA
This 1419-nucleotide ribosomal RNA is filed under the name uncultured cyanobacterium. RNAcentral's name for it is "bacterial SSU rRNA". It matches the Rfam family "Bacterial small subunit ribosomal RNA". The record is from RNAcentral. Lineage: Bacteria; Bacillati; Cyanobacteriota.